RNAcentral lists this ribosomal RNA (315 nucleotides) under uncultured bacterium. RNAcentral describes it as "bacterial SSU rRNA". It matches the Rfam family "Bacterial small subunit ribosomal RNA", at positions 28 to 329 of the family's 1533-position model. The record is from RNAcentral.
GAUGAACGCUAGCGGCAGGCUUAACACAUGCAAGUCGAGGGGCAGCAUGAACCGACCUUCGGGAAGGUUUGAUGGCGACCGGCGCAAGGGUGCGUAACGCGUGAGCAACUUGCCCGUUUCUGGGGAAUAACCGGUGGAAACGCCGACUAAUACCCCAUAGCAUCAACUUAGGGCAUCCUUAGUUGAUUAAAGAAUUUCGGAAACGGAUAGGCUCGCGUGACAUUAGCUAGAUGGCGGGGUAACGGCCCACCAUUGGCUACGAUGUCUAGGGGGUUCUGAGAGGAAGGUUCCCCCCACACUGGAACUGAGACACGG